Pelobates cultripes (western spadefoot toad) is the source of this 287-nucleotide non-coding RNA. The record is from the annotation of a GenBank genome assembly. NCBI's taxonomy places the organism in Eukaryota, Metazoa, Chordata, Amphibia, Anura, Pelobatidae.
GUUGUGGAUCCCUCCCUUGCAUGGGAGAAUGUCUUAAAAGGAGGUUGUGUGAAUAAAUCUAGGAUUCUGCUUAACCCUCAAAAUGAAGUGUCGUCUCGUUAUUGGGGGAAUUGGAUUGUAUGCUGACUGCCAGGAGUGUAACCGUUUUGUAUGGUUUUCCUGUUCGGAUAUUUCUAGUGUUCAUGUGUUUCCAGUUCGGGAGAUCGGUGCUUACAGUAGCUGUCGGUGUAGCUGAGAAAGGGGUAUAUCGCCUAAACGGUUUUAACCUCUGGUGAGCUAAACGGUCC